Molecule: ribosomal RNA, 489 nt
Filed under: uncultured bacterium
Lineage: Bacteria
Description: partial 16S ribosomal RNA
Rfam family: Bacterial small subunit ribosomal RNA
Source: RNAcentral
AUUGAACGCUGGCGGCAGGCCUAACACAUGCAAGUCGAACGGUAACAGGAAGAAGCUUGCUUCUUUGCUGACGAGUGGCGGACGGGUGAGUAAUGUCUGGGAAACUGCCUGAUGGAGGGGGAUAACUACUGGAAACGGUAGCUAAUACCGCAUAACGUCGCAAGACCAAAGAGGGGGACCUUCGGGCCUCUUGCCACCGGAUGUGCCCAGAUGGGAUUAGCUAGUAGGUGGGGUAACGGCUCACCUAGGCGACGAUCCCUAGCUGGUCUGGGAGGAUGACAGGCACCCCAGAAACGAGGCCAGGGACCAGCCCCAUAGGGAAGGCAGCGGGGGGGAAUGUUGACAAGUGGGGGAAGGCCUGAUGAAGCAAGGCGGGUUGAAUGAAGAAGGCCUUCGGUUGUAAAGUACUUUCAGCGGGGAGGAAGGGAGUAAAGUUAAUACCUUUGCUCAUUGACGUUACCCGCAGAAGAAGCACCGGCUAACUCCGUG